UUUGGCAUCAAAGCAACAAUAAGGGCAAAAAUGUUUUGCCCCUUUCUCUUCCAUUCUUCAGAUAAAUAAGGGAUGGUUUUUUGAUUACUGCUUAUCCGUUUUUCUGAAAAAUAAUCACUUGUCACUCAAGUUUUGGUUGAAAAAGGUUAAUUCAAGUUUGGUUGAAGAUUGCAGUCCUGAAGAACAUUGCUUUGGACGAAUUUUGUAAUAGCUUCAAAAGAGUGCAAAGAGUACAAGAUCUUUCUCAAUGGACCAAGCUCGGAUUUACAAAGUGGGUGAAGACCUUUUGGAACCAUUUCAAGAGCCUUGGCAAAAGUUGAAGAUGGGAGAAGGGAUCUUAAACUCCAACGGCACCUCACUUAAAGGGCAUAGUUUUAUUUUACACUCCAAAAGCUACACUCAAAGAGCGUCUAUUCCUUGGCUUUCAUUAAGGGCAAUUUGAUCCUUUUGUGUAAUAACUAUAAAUAGAUAUUUAGGCUUCUAUUUCUCAUUAGUUUGUGAUGAAUAUUGAGUGAACUUAUUUUUUAGACUUCUUUCUUCUCUCUAGGAGUAGAAACCGUAACUAGGGUUAGCUUAAGUGUGGAUUCACUUGAGUUGACAAUUUGGCUUAGAAACAUUGAUGCUUUGGGGUACUUCGAGUCCCUUUUGUGUCAACGUAAGAGCGUGGUGUUUCAAUUACAAGCUUUGGUGGGUCUUGGUGUUUGAUGCACACCUUGGUUCCUUUGGUAUUGUAGUUGUUAUGUCUCACUAACUAUCUUUUCAUUUAUGCAAGUUUUUGUGUGUUAGCUUCCAAA
Long non-coding RNA from Capsicum annuum, 794 nucleotides. RefSeq lists it as uncharacterized. The transcript is spliced from 2 exons. NCBI's taxonomy places the organism in Eukaryota, Viridiplantae, Streptophyta, Magnoliopsida, Solanales, Solanaceae. The record is from RefSeq and is a predicted model, not a curated record.